CAGUCGCCGCGGUAAUACAGAGGGUGCGAGCGUUAAUCGGAUUUACUGGGCGUAAAGCGUGCGUAGGCGGCUUCUUAAGUCGGAUGUGAAAUCCCUGAGCUUAACUUAGGAAUUGCAUUCGAUACUGGGAAGCUAGAGUAUGGGAGAGGAUGGUAGAAUUCCAGGUGUAGCGGUGAAAUGCGUAGAGAUCUGGAGGAAUACCGAUGGCGAAGGCAGCCAUCUGGCCUAAUACUGACGCUGAGGUACGAAAGCAUGGGGAGCGAACAGGAUUAGAUACCCCGGUAGUCCCUGUCUCUUAUAC
Molecule: ribosomal RNA, 301 nt
Filed under: uncultured bacterium
Lineage: Bacteria
Description: partial 16S ribosomal RNA
Rfam family: Bacterial small subunit ribosomal RNA
Source: RNAcentral